UUUUUUUUUAUCAUUUUCUUGAUUUAGUUUUUUUUUUCAAUUCCUCCCGUAACAUUUUAUUUUAUUUUAUUUUUAUCCAACUUUGUCAUUAUUCUUUUAAUUUCUAUUUAUUUUAUUUUUAAUUUUUUAUGAUUAGAAAUCUUGCAUUAUGAUUUUUUCUUGUUUUUCUUCUAUGAGAUAAUCUCAGUUUCAUCAUUUAGGUUAGCAUGAUUUAACUUUGAUCUUUUUUUAGGUCUCUUUUUAAAUUGAUUUUCUUUUUUAAUUUCAUCAUUCGACAUAAGGUUAUU
RNAcentral lists this long non-coding RNA (287 nucleotides) under Populus trichocarpa (black cottonwood). RNAcentral describes it as "long non-coding RNA (PTRI_LNC003413)". The record is from RNAcentral. Lineage: Eukaryota; Viridiplantae; Streptophyta; Magnoliopsida; Malpighiales; Salicaceae.